Molecule: non-coding RNA, 116 nt
Filed under: Pseudomonas sp. OF001
Lineage: Bacteria; Pseudomonadati; Pseudomonadota; Gammaproteobacteria; Pseudomonadales; Pseudomonadaceae
Source: RNAcentral
GAGGGUAUGGCCCCUCGCCAUCAGCUUGCAGGAGCGGGUGGCAAACCACCGCAAGCGGCUUGGGUCAAAAGCCUCGGUCGUGAGCGUUGCGGAAAAGGCGCCCAAAGGCGUCAGGU